AUUGAACGCUGGCGGAAUGCUUUACACAUGCAAGUCGAACGGCAGCACGGGUGCUAGCACCUGGUGGCGAGUGGCGAACGGGUGAGUAAUACAUCGGAACGUACCCAGUCGUGGGGGAUAACUAACCGAAAGGUUAGCUAAUACCGCAUACGUCCUGAGGGAGAAAGCGGGGGACCGUAAGGCCUCGCGCGAUUGGAGCGGCCGAUGUCUGAUUAGCUAGUUGGUGAGGUAAAGGCUCACCAAGGCGACGAUCAGUAGCAGGUCUGAGAGGAUGAUCUGCCACACUGGAACUGAGACACGGUCCAGACUCCUACGGGAGGCAGCAGUGGGGAAUUUUGGACAAUGGGGGAAACCCUGAUCCAGCCAUUCCGCGUGAGUGAAGAAGGCCUCGGUGUAAGCUCUUCGUCAGGAGAACGACGUCUGGAAUAAUAACU
Molecule: ribosomal RNA, 434 nt
Filed under: uncultured bacterium
Lineage: Bacteria
Description: bacterial SSU rRNA
Rfam family: Bacterial small subunit ribosomal RNA
Source: RNAcentral